UUUUUUUUAACUAAAUCAGAAAAUUUUCUAUGAAAUUUCAAAAGCUCUACAAACACUUAAUUGUUUAUGACUACAAUAUCAAGUAAUUCAGUUUAGAAAAGCCAAUUGAUGGUAAUGUUGCCAAGCCAUGUGAACAGUGGAAACUGAGCCAAAGCGAUGAAUAGCAAGAGAUAAUGAUGCCGGCUCGAAUCGUAACUCCUCACCUCUGCAAAAAGGACCCUCUUCAUCGUCUUCACCAAGAAAAUUCCCAUACAUAAGCAGGCCCAUGGCAUCAAAAAGUAGUAAGAGUAUUUGAAUAAAAUCUUUCCAAGGACAGCAAAACACAUCCCUGUGAAAGUAUAUCCACCAUAGGCAACAAUGUCCAACAAGGGUGCCUCUGCGCUACUCAAUGAAAGCAUUGUUACUUUAAGCAAUGAAACUUGCAGAAACCAGCCAAGUAAUCCCUUCACAAACAACCAAUUGAGUGCUUCAGCGCUAAACUUUCCAUUAAGUCCUAAUGACAAGCCAGCAAGUACGACGUAUGUACCAAAUGCCAUGAAUGGAAUGUACAAGUCUGGUGCAUUUAUAUCAUAAAUUGGGGGUUUGUAGGAAAGCCUGCCCCCUACUGGCUCAGUUAUCCGAGUCCAGUGUCCCCUGUGCAGGAAUGGAAA
Molecule: unclassified non-coding RNA, 650 nt
Filed under: Hevea brasiliensis (rubber tree)
Lineage: Eukaryota; Viridiplantae; Streptophyta; Magnoliopsida; Malpighiales; Euphorbiaceae
Source: RNAcentral